This 579-nucleotide ribosomal RNA is filed under the name Pseudomonas putida. RNAcentral describes it as "bacterial SSU rRNA". It matches the Rfam family "Bacterial small subunit ribosomal RNA", at positions 49 to 623 of the family's 1533-position model. The record is from RNAcentral. Lineage: Bacteria; Pseudomonadati; Pseudomonadota; Gammaproteobacteria; Pseudomonadales; Pseudomonadaceae.
UAACACAUGCAAGUCGAGCGGAUGACGGGAGCUUGCUCCUGGAUUCAGCGGCGGACGGGUGAGUAAUGCCUAGGAAUCUGCCUGGUAGUGGGGGACAACGUUUCGAAAGGAACGCUAAUACCGCAUACGUCCUACGGGAGAAAGCAGGGGACCUUCGGGCCUUGCGCUAUCAGAUGAGCCUAGGUCGGAUUAGCUAGUUGGUGGGGUAAUGGCUCACCAAGGCGACGAUCCGUAACUGGUCUGAGAGGAUGAUCAGUCACACUGGAACUGAGACACGGUCCAGACUCCUACGGGAGGCAGCAGUGGGGAAUAUUGGACAAUGGGCGAAAGCCUGAUCCAGCCAUGCCGCGUGUGUGAAGAAGGUCUUCGGAUUGUAAAGCACUUUAAGUUGGGAGGAAGGGCAGUAAGCGAAUACCUUGCUGUUUUGACGUUACCGACAGAAUAAGCACCGGCUAACUCUGUGCCAGCAGCCGCGGUAAUACAGAGGGUGCAAGCGUUAAUCGGAAUUACUGGGCGUAAAGCGCGCGUAGGUGGUUCGUUAAGUUGGAUGUGAAAGCCCCGGGCUCAACCUGGGAACUG